Molecule: microRNA precursor, 73 nt
Organism: Medicago truncatula (barrel medic)
Lineage: Eukaryota; Viridiplantae; Streptophyta; Magnoliopsida; Fabales; Fabaceae
Rfam family: MIR2629 microRNA precursor family
Source: Rfam
UACCGAGCUUUUCCUCGGCAGUUAACUGCAGCCGGAUUUCAAAUUCCUCGGCAGUUAACUGCCGAAGGGGCAA